CAGCCUGAUCCAGCAAUGCCGCGUGAGUGAAGAAGGCCUUCGGGUUGUAAAGCUCUUUCAGUUGAGAAGAAAAGAUUGUGACUAAUAAUUGCGAUCCAUGACGGUAUCAACAGAAGAAGCACCGGCUAACUACGUGCCAGCAGCCGCGGUAAU
Molecule: ribosomal RNA, 153 nt
Filed under: uncultured bacterium
Lineage: Bacteria
Description: partial 16S ribosomal RNA
Rfam family: Bacterial small subunit ribosomal RNA
Source: RNAcentral